AGAGGUUGAACGGCCACAUUGGGACUGAGACACGGCCCAGACUCCUACGGGAGGCAGCAGUGGGGAAUAUUGCACAAUGGGCGCAAGCCUGAUGCAGCAACGCCGCGUGAGGGAAGACGGUCCUCUGGAUUGUAAACCUCUGUCUUCGGGGACGAAACGAGACGGUACCCGAGGAGGAAGCCACGGCUAACUACGUGCCAGCAGCCGCGGUAAU
RNAcentral lists this ribosomal RNA (214 nucleotides) under uncultured bacterium. RNAcentral describes it as "partial 16S ribosomal RNA". It matches the Rfam family "Bacterial small subunit ribosomal RNA", at positions 295 to 524 of the family's 1533-position model. The record is from RNAcentral.